Molecule: small RNA, 225 nt
Filed under: Vigna angularis var. angularis
Lineage: Eukaryota; Viridiplantae; Streptophyta; Magnoliopsida; Fabales; Fabaceae
Description: Non-protein coding transcript
Source: RNAcentral
GUAAUUAAACUUCUUAUCUAAAUUUUGGUGUUCUUAUCUAGGAAUUAUCAAUUUUGUUAUCGACCUGACUCGUUCUCCGAACCCUAUUCAAUCAAACAAAGAUGGAGAUUAGGUUUUCUGAUGUGAUGCACAAGGAUUUGUAGAUCUUUUCAAGUGUAGUGCAAUGAAAACUAUUAUUUCAUCGAAAUGGAACAUCAGUUUUCGAGAAAAGGAUUUGAUGCACAA